Homo sapiens (human) is the source of this 780-nucleotide long non-coding RNA. The record is from Ensembl. NCBI's taxonomy places the organism in Eukaryota, Metazoa, Chordata, Mammalia, Primates, Hominidae.
UGGCCUCCUUACCCCCAGUGGCAGAAGGGAGGAAGGGAGGUCCCCUGUGGCCUCCCAUCCUUGUGCUCCCAUUAGGGUCAGCAUGAAGCAGGAAUGAGGCUGUCUAUAUCAUCAUGGCAUUCCCAACACUAAACUCUGUGCCCAGGAGAAGUUCUGCAGGCUGUACAGGAAGCAUGAAUUGGAGGCCUCAGGAAACUUACAAUCAUGGAGGAAGGACGAGGGGAGCAAGUACAUCUUGAUAUGGCAGAGCAGGAGAGAGAGAGAAGGGGAAAUACUACGCACUUUUAAACAACCAGAACUCACAAGAACUCACUCAUGAUAGUGAAUCUUAAGAACAGCAAGAAAGAAAUCUGCCCCCACGAUCCAAUCACCUCCUACCAGCCCCUCCUCAGCAUGAGAUUUGGGUGGGGACACAGAGCCAAGCCAUAUCAAUUCCUCAAUACCAGGGUCAGGCUUCCCUGGGAACCAAGUCCAUCAUGGAUCAGGACAGGACCAGGAACACAGCACCCACUGUGUCUGACCAAAGAGCCUCAACUGCCAGACGUCUGUCCAUCCACACCAUUCAAUUAGCACCUACUAUGUGCCAGCCUUAGGUCUAGGGGCUCAAGAAACAGGGUGGACAAGACAGGAAGUGUCCCUGUCCUCAUGGACCAGACACCAUCUGGUGGAAGAGAUGAGACAAUUGAGUAAUAAUAUCAAUACAAUAAGAUGUCAUCACUUAGUGAGGAGAGGAGAGGAGAGCUCAGUAAUGGUGGUAGAGGAGCCAUCAGAGGGUUGGAC